GAUGAAGAACGUAGCGAAAUGCGAUAAGUAAUGUGAAUUGCAGAAUUCAGUGAAUCAUCGAAUCUUUGAACGCACCUUGCGCCCUUUGGCUAUUCCGAAGGGCAUGCCUGUUUGAGUAUCAUGAAAACCUCAACUCUCAUGGCUUGCCAUGAUGAGCUUGGACUCUGGGGGUCUUGCUGGCUUUACGGUCAGCUCCUCUCAAAUAAAUCAGCUUGCCGGUGUUUGGUGGGAUCACAGGUGUGAUAACUAUCUACGCUUGUGGUUUUCCGCCAGGUAACCUUCAGCAAUGGAGGUUCGCUGGAGCUCAUAAAUGUCUCUCCUCAGCGAGGACAGACUUUGACCGUUUGAUCUCAAAUCAGGUAGGACUACCCGCUGAACUUAAGCAUAUCAAUAAGCGGAGGA
RNAcentral lists this unclassified non-coding RNA (402 nucleotides) under soil metagenome. RNAcentral describes it as "partial contains 5.8S ribosomal RNA, internal transcribed spacer 2, and large subunit ribosomal RNA". The stretch from base 1 to 121 matches the Rfam family "5.8S ribosomal RNA", at positions 35 to 154 of the family's 154-position model. The record is from RNAcentral.